GAUGAACGCUGGCGGCGUGCUUAUCACAUGCAAGUCGAACGAUGAAGCCCAGCUUGCUGGGUGGAUUAGUGGCGAACGGGUGAGUAACACGUGAGUAACCUGCCCUUAACUCUGGGAUAAGCCUGGGAAACUGGGUCUAAUACCGGAUAGGAGCGUCCACCGCAUGGUGGGUGUUGGAAAGAUUUAUCGGUUUUGGAUGGACUCGCGGCCUAUCAGCUUGUUGGUGAGGUAAUGGCUCACCAAGGCGACGACGGGUAGCCGGCCUGAGAGGGUGACCGGCCACACUGGGACUGAGACACGGCCCAGACUCCUACGGGAGGCAGCAGUGGGGAAUAUUGCACAAUGGGCGCAAGCCUGAUGCAGCGACGCCGCGUGAGGGAUGACGGCCUUCGGGUUGUAAACCUCUUUCAGUAGGGAAGAAGCGAAAGUGACGGUACCUGCAGAAGAAGCACCGGCUAACUACGUG
Molecule: ribosomal RNA, 466 nt
Filed under: uncultured bacterium
Lineage: Bacteria
Description: partial 16S ribosomal RNA
Rfam family: Bacterial small subunit ribosomal RNA
Source: RNAcentral